RNAcentral lists this long non-coding RNA (748 nucleotides) under Homo sapiens (human). RNAcentral's name for it is "non-protein coding lnc-EPHX2-1:1". Lineage: Eukaryota; Metazoa; Chordata; Mammalia; Primates; Hominidae. The record is from RNAcentral.
UUGCAGGUGGAUGAGGAGAAGAAGCAGGUGACCAUGGAGGCUGGCAUCCUCCUGGCCAACCUGCACCCACAGCUGGAUGAGCAUGGCCUGGCCCUGUCCAGCCCAGCCUGGGCAUAGUGGUAGAUGUGACUGCAGCUGGCGUCGUUGGGUCUGGAAUGCAAAACAUGGGAAUCAGGCCUGGCACCCCGGCCAGCCAGUUCCUCCAUAGCCUGGACAGCAUUGGAAGAAAUCUGAGGACUUCUGCUUCCUCUGGUUCCCACACAGCGAGAAUGUCAGUGCCAUCCACCAGGACCACACCAGCAAGCAUCUUCUUGCAGUGCCUUGUGGGCUGGAUCAAUGGCUUUUUGUUUCUGACUCCUGUUUGCCUGCCAGGAGAACAGCAACCUCAGCCCCAAGAUCUUCACCCACGUGUGCCACUUCAAGCAGCAUGUCCAGCACUGGGCCAUCCCCAGGGGAAAGAAGACCACGGAGGCCCUGCUGGAGCUGAAGGCCGUGCUGGAGGCCCACCCUGAGGUGGUGUCCCACUACCUGGUGGGGGUACGCUUCACCUGGAGGAUGACAUCCUACUGAGCCCCUGCUUCCAGUGGGACAGCCGCUACCUGAACAUCAACCUGUACAGGUGCCACACUGUACCUCAAAGAACUUUGAGAAAAUGCAUCCUGCCUUCCCAAAGUUCUGUGCCAUCUGAGAAAAGCUAGAACCCACUGGGAUGUUCCUAAAUUUGUAUUUGGAGAAGGUGUUCUACUGA